UACAUGCGCGAACUCGUGGGUUCCCGUUCGGCCGUUCGCCGGGCGGGUGAAAAGGGAACGCGGUGCCGGGCUUUGCUCCACUCCGCGGCUGCCCCCGCAACUGUAAGCAGCGAUGUCUGCUCCGAAUGCCACUGGCGGUGACGCUGGGAAGGCGGAGCAGGCGGUUAGAGACGCUGCGAGCCAGGAGACCUGCCCAUCGAGCGUCACCCAU
This 211-nucleotide non-coding RNA is filed under the name Methyloligella halotolerans. Lineage: Bacteria; Pseudomonadati; Pseudomonadota; Alphaproteobacteria; Hyphomicrobiales; Hyphomicrobiaceae. The record is from RNAcentral.